Molecule: ribosomal RNA, 812 nt
Filed under: uncultured bacterium
Lineage: Bacteria
Description: bacterial SSU rRNA
Rfam family: Bacterial small subunit ribosomal RNA
Source: RNAcentral
GUCGAGCGAUGAAACCCUUCGGGUGUGAAUUAGCGGCGAACGGGUGAGGAACACGUGAAGAAUCUGCCUUCAACUCUGGGAUAACUCCGGGAAACCGGGGCUAAUACCGGAUAUGAGCCUCGAUCGCAUGAUUGGGGCUGGAAAGUUUUUCGGUUGAAGAUGACUUCGCGGCCUAUCAGCUUGUUGGUGAGGUAAUGGCUCACCAAGGCGACGACGGGUAGCCGGCCUGAGAGGGCGACCGGCCACACUGGGACUGAGACACGGCCCAGACUCCUACGGGAGGCAGCAGUGGGGAAUAUUGGGCAAUGGAGGAAACUCUGACCCAGCGACGCCGCGUGAGGGAUGAAGGCCUUCGGGUUGUAAACCUCUUUCAGUAGGGAAGAAGCGAAAGUGACGGUACCUACAGAAGAAGCACCGGCUAACUAUGUGCCAGCAGCCGCGGUAAUACAUAGGGUGCAAGCGUUGUCCGGAAUUAUUGGGCGUAAAGAGCUCGUAGGUGGUUCGAUACGUCGGAUGUGAAAAUCAGGGGCUCAACCCCUGACCUGCAUCCGAUACGGUCGAGCUAGAGUUUGGUAGGGGAGACUGGAAUUCCUGGUGUAGCGGUGGAAUGCGCAGAUAUCAGGAGGAACACCGAUGGCGAAGGCAGGUCUCUGGGCCAAUACUGACACUGAGGAGCGAAAGCGUGGGGAGCGAACAGGAUUAGAUACCCUGGUAGUCCACGCCGUAAACGGUGGGCGCUAGUUGUGCGAACCUUCCACGGUUUGUGCGACGCAGCUAACGCAUUAAGCGCCCCGCCUGGGGAGUACGAUCGC